AACGCUGGCGGCGUGCCUAAUACAUGCAAGUCGAACGGUCUUUCUAUGGAAGCUUGCUUCCACUGAGAAGAUAGUGGCGAACGGGUGAGUAACACGUGGGUAACCUGCCCAUAAGAGGGGGGAUAACAUCCGGAAACGGGUGCUAAUACCGCAUAGUUUCUUGAUCGCAUGAUCGGGAAAGGAAAGACGGCCUUUGUGCUGUCGCUUAUGGAUGGACCCGCGGCGUAUUAGUUAGUUGGUGAGGUAACGGCUCACCAAGACGAUGAUACGUAGCCGACCUGAGAGGGUGAUCGGCCACAUUGGGACUGAGACACGGCCCAAACUCCUACGGGAGGCAGCAGUAGGGAAUCUUCCGCAAUGGACGAAAGUCUGACGGAGCAACGCCGCGUGAGUGAAGAAAAGGUUUUCGGAUCGUAAAACUCUGUUGUCAGAGAAGAACAAGUUGGAGAGUAACUGCUCCAGCCUUGACGGUAUCUGACCAGAAAGCCACGGCUAACUACGUGCCAGCCGCCGC
This 514-nucleotide ribosomal RNA is filed under the name uncultured bacterium. RNAcentral's name for it is "bacterial SSU rRNA". It matches the Rfam family "Bacterial small subunit ribosomal RNA", at positions 32 to 518 of the family's 1533-position model. The record is from RNAcentral.